UGCAGAUCUAGGUUUAUCAAUACCCAAUUUCUGCACUUACGUUUGGAUUUUCUGAUAGCAUUUCACCAUGACACUUGAAUGAGGCAAGUUCUAUUUUGGAUUUACUCAAAUAAAAACUCAAUUUGAUCUUGAUCUAAGAUUCUGUGUUGUAGCACAUAGGGUUGAAAUCAAGAUCUACGUAUAAAGAAGAUGGGCGCGGAAUAGCGAUUUCAGCUCGGAAUGAUCAGACAUUAGGUUCAACUUCUGACAAGUAGAUGGUGAAUGGGGAAGCUUGCAUUGGAAUCUUUGCAAUUAGGGAUAUAAGAUGAUGGCGAUUUGAUGAAUGUGCGAGCAAAGGGGAUACAUCAGCUCUGUUAAAGAACGGUACAGAGUUCGACGACCGGAGAUCAUUCUCCAGAGAGACGACAGCGGUGUUAUCUACAGCUUGUUCCAUUGCCGAUUUGAGAUCCAACGUCAAUAGGGAUUUCAAGUGUGGGUCUUUGAAAAAUAUGGCUAUUGUUGAUUUAAGGAGAAUGUAAAGCAGACAAAUUGGUGAAACUAAUUGGAGUUUUUGUAUUGGUGUUGGAAAUAUGAUGGAUUUAAUGAGAUGGUGUGUAAAUGCCUCGAAGCGCUUUGUGCUUUUUGAACCAAGGUUGGUAUUUGAGGGAGGGCAAACGACAAACGUGGAAAAAGAUACAAGUAAGAACAAAAAGGAGAAGUUGGUUAAAGCUACAAAGAAAGGUGCAUCAAUAUUAGAUCAAUGGAUACAUGAUCAUGUUAAGUCUUAUUACCAUGUACUGCAACAGGUAAUAUUUAUAUUUACAAUGGCACUAGAAAUUAAGUUUUAUCAGUCUUGUGUCCACCCUAUAUGUAUUUUGUUUACAUUAACUUUAAAUGCAGGUGAUGAUAUUGAUGAUGCCACAUUAAUUUAGACAAAUGUUGGGUCUAACAAUAGCAAGUUUUAUAUAAUACAAGUAGGGGUGCAAACGGGCCGAGUUUA
Helianthus annuus (common sunflower) is the source of this 979-nucleotide long non-coding RNA. RefSeq lists it as uncharacterized. NCBI's taxonomy places the organism in Eukaryota, Viridiplantae, Streptophyta, Magnoliopsida, Asterales, Asteraceae. The record is from RefSeq and is a predicted model, not a curated record. The transcript has 4 exons.